UGGGGAAUAUUGCACAAUAGGCGCAAGCCUGAUGCAGCCAUGCCGCGUGUAUGAAGAAGGCCUUCGGGUUGUAAAGUACUUUCAGCGGGGAGGAAGGGAGUAAAGUUAAUACCUUUGCUCAUUGACGUUACCCGCAGAAGAAGCACCGGCUAACUCCGUGCCAGCAGCCGCGGUAAUACGGAGGGUGCAAGCGUUAAUCGGAAUUACUGGGCGUAAAGCGCACGCAGGCGGUUGAUUGAGUCAGAUGUGAAAUCCCCGGGCUUAACCCGGGAAUUGCAUCUGAUACUGGUCGGCUAGAGUCUUGUAGAGGGGGGUAGAAUUCCAUGUGUAGCGGUGAAAUGCGUAGAGAUGUGGAGGAAUACCGGUGGCGAAGGCGGCCCCCUGGACAAAGACUGACGCUCAGGUGCGAAAGCGUGGGGAGCAAACAGG
This 429-nucleotide ribosomal RNA is filed under the name Chloroflexota bacterium. RNAcentral describes it as "Chloroflexi bacterium partial 16S ribosomal RNA". It matches the Rfam family "Bacterial small subunit ribosomal RNA", at positions 355 to 776 of the family's 1533-position model. Lineage: Bacteria; Bacillati; Chloroflexota. The record is from RNAcentral.